This 342-nucleotide ribosomal RNA is filed under the name uncultured bacterium. RNAcentral describes it as "bacterial SSU rRNA". It matches the Rfam family "Bacterial small subunit ribosomal RNA", at positions 18 to 344 of the family's 1533-position model. The record is from RNAcentral.
CCUGGCUCAGGACGAACGCUGGCGGCGUGCCUAAUACAUGCAAGUCGAACGAACCGCAACAGAGGGCUGGCACUUGGUCAAGGUGAGUGGCGAACGGGUGAGUAACACGUGGGUAACCUACCUCAUAGGGGGGGAUAACAGUCGGAAACGACUGCUAAUACCGCAUAGGACAUGGAAGCACAUGAUUCCGUGAGGAAAGGGGGCGCAAGCUAUCGCUAAGAGAUGGACCCGCGGUGCAUUAGCUAGUUGGUAGGGUAAAGGCCUACCAAGGCGAUGAUGCAUAGCCGACCUGAGAGGGUGAUCGGCCACAUUGGGACUGAGACACGGCCCAAACUCCUACGG